CCUACGGGGGGCAGCAGUCGAGAAUCAUUCACAAUGGGGGAAACCCUGAUGGUGCGACGCCGCGUGGGGGAAUGAAGGUCUUCGGAUUGUAAACCCCUGUCAUGUGGGAGCAAAUUAAAAAGAUAGUACCACAAGAGGAAGAGACGGCUAACUCUGUGCCAGCAGCCGCGGUAAUACAGAGGUCUCAAGCGUUGUUCGGAAUCACUGGGCGUAAGGCGUGCGUAGGCUGUUUCGUAAGUCGUGUGUGAAAGGCGCGGGCUCAACCCGCGGACGGCACAUGAUACUGCGAGACUAGAGUAAUGGAGGGGGAACCGGAAUUCUCGGUGUAGCAGUGAAAUGCGUAGAGAUCGAGAGGAACACUCGUGGCGAAGGCGGGUUCCUGGACAUUAACUGACGCUGAGGCACGAAGGCCAGGGGAGCGCAAGGGAUUAGAUACCCUAGUAGUC
This 446-nucleotide ribosomal RNA is filed under the name uncultured bacterium. Its description in RNAcentral is "partial 16S ribosomal RNA". It matches the Rfam family "Bacterial small subunit ribosomal RNA", at positions 338 to 795 of the family's 1533-position model. The record is from RNAcentral.